Molecule: ribosomal RNA, 1797 nt
Filed under: Capsicum baccatum
Lineage: Eukaryota; Viridiplantae; Streptophyta; Magnoliopsida; Solanales; Solanaceae
Description: bacterial SSU rRNA
Rfam family: Eukaryotic small subunit ribosomal RNA
Source: RNAcentral
CCUGGUUGAUCCUACGAGUAGUCAUAUGCUUGUCUCAACAAUUAUGUCAUGCAUGUAUAAGUAUGAACAAAUUCAGAAUGUGAAACUGCAAAUGUCUCAUUAAAUCAGUUAUAUUUUGUUUGAUGGUAUCUAAUACUCGGAUAACAACAGUAAUUCUAAAGCUAAUACGUGCAAAAAAACCCAAAAUCUAGAAGGGACUCAUUUAUUAGAUAAAAGAUCGAUGCGGGCUCUGCCCAUUGCUGAGAUGAUUCAUGAUAACUCGAUCGAUCACAUAGCCAUCGUACCGGCGAUGUAUCAUUCAAAUUUUUGCCUUAUCAACUUUCAAUGGUAAGAUAGUGGCCUACCAUGGUGGUGACGGGUGACGAGAAUUAGACUUCAAUUUCGGAUAAGAAGCCUGUGAAACGGCUACCACAUCCAAGAAAGGAAGCAGGUGCGCAAAUUACCCAAUCCUGACACGGUGAGGUAGUGACAAUAAAUAACAAUAUAGGGCUCAAAGAGUCUUAUAAUUGGAAUGAGUACAAUCUAAAUCCCUUAACGAGGAUCCAUUGGAAGGAAAGUCUUGUGCCAGCAACUUUGGUAAUUCCAGCUUCAAUAGCAUAGAUUUAACUUGUUACAGUUAAAAAGCUUGUAGUUGGAUUUUGGGAUGGGCCGGCCGGUCCGCCUAUGGUGUGCACCGAUCGUCUUGUCCCUUCUGUCAGUGAUGUACUCCUGGCCUUAACUGGAUGGGUCGUGCCUCAGGUUUUGUUACUUUGAUGAAAUUAGAGUGGUCAAAGCAAUCCUACGCUGAGUAUAAAUUAGCAUGGGAUAACAUUAUAGGAUUUAGAUCCUACUAUGUUGGCCUUCGGGAUCGGAGUAAUGAUUAACAGGGACGAUUGGGGGCAUUCGUAUUUCAUAGUUAGAGGUGAAAUUCUUAGAUUUAUGAAAGACAAACAACAACAAAAUCAUUUUACCAGGAUGUUUUCAUUAAUCAAGAACGAAUGUUAGGGGCUCAAAGACGAUUAGGUACCAUCCUAGUCUCAACCAUAAAUGAUGCUGAUCAGGGAUUGGCGGAUGUUACUUUUAGGACUCUGCAUGCACCUUAUGAGAAAUGAAAAUUUUUGGGUUCUGGGGGGAGUAUGGUCGCAAGUUUGAAACUUAAAGGGAAUGACGGAAGGGCACCACAAGGAGUGGAGUCUGCGGCUAAAAUUGACUCAACACAAGGAAACUUACCAGGUCCAGACAUAGUAAGGAUUGACAAACUGAGAGCUAUUUCUUGAUUCUAUGGGUGGUGGUGUAUGGCCGUUCUUAUUUGGUGGAAAGAUUUGUCUGGUUAAUUCCAUUAACAAAUGAGAGCUCAACCUGCUAACUAGCUAUGUGGAGGUAUCCCUUAGCGGCCAGCUUCUUAGAGGGACUACGGCCUUUUAGGCUGUGGAAGUUUGAUGUAAUAACAAGUAUGUGAUGCCCUUAGAUGUUCUGGGCCGCAUGCACGCUACACUGCUGUAUUAAACUAGUUUAUAGCCUUGGCUGACAGGUCUUGUUAAUCUUUGAAAUUUAAUCGUGAUGAGGAUACAUCAUUGCAGUUGUUGGUCUUCAACGAGAAAUUCCUAGUAAGCGCGACUCAUUAGCUUGCGUUGACUACAUCCCUUCCCUUUGUACACACCGUCCAUCACUCCUACCAAUUGUAUGAUCAGGUGAAAUAUUCGGAUAGUGGAGACGUGGGUGGUUCGCUACCCAUGAGAUCGCGAUAAGUCUAUUGAACCUUAUCAUUUAGUAGAAGGAGUAGUCGUAACUAGGUUUCUAUAGGUGAACCUGCGGAAG